RNAcentral lists this ribosomal RNA (465 nucleotides) under uncultured bacterium. RNAcentral's name for it is "partial 16S ribosomal RNA". It matches the Rfam family "Bacterial small subunit ribosomal RNA", at positions 28 to 507 of the family's 1533-position model. The record is from RNAcentral.
GACGAACGCUGGCGGCGUGCUUAACACAUGCAAGUCGAACGGAAAGGCCCUGCUUGCAGGGUACUCGAGUGGCGAACGGGUGAGUAACACGUGGGUGAUCUGCCCUGCACUUCGGGAUAAGCCUGGGAAACUGGGUCUAAUACCGGAUAGGAGCCAUUUUUAGUGUGAUGGUUGGAAAGUUUUUUCGGUGUAGGAUGAGCUCGCGGCCUAUCAGCUUGUUGGUGGGGUAAUGGCCUACCAAGGCGGCGACGGGUAGCCGGCCUGAGAGGGUGGACGGCCACAGUGGGACUGAGAGACGGCCCAGACUCCUACGGGAGGCAGCAGGGGGGAAUAUUGCACAAUGGGCGCAAGCCUGAUGCAGCGACGCCGCGUGGGGGAUGACGGCCUUCGGGUUGUAAACUCCUUUCGCUAGGGACGAAGCUUUUUGUGACGGUACCUAGAGAAGAAGCACCGGCUAACUACGUG